GCCUGGGUUGCUCAGUCGGUUAAGCGUCUGACUUCGGCUCAGGUCACGAUCUCACGGUUCGUGGGUUCGAGCCCCGCAUUGGGCU
RNAcentral lists this transfer RNA (85 nucleotides) under Felis catus (domestic cat). It matches the Rfam family "tRNA". Rfam says of the family: Transfer RNA (tRNA) molecules are approximately 80 nucleotides in length. Their secondary structure includes four short double-helical elements and three loops (D, anti-codon, and T loops). Lineage: Eukaryota; Metazoa; Chordata; Mammalia; Carnivora; Felidae. The record is from Rfam by way of RNAcentral.